This 73-nucleotide transfer RNA is filed under the name Winmispira thermophila DSM 6192. Its description in RNAcentral is "tRNA-Pro (GGG) (tRNA-Pro-GGG-1-1)". It matches the Rfam family "tRNA". Rfam says of the family: Transfer RNA (tRNA) molecules are approximately 80 nucleotides in length. Their secondary structure includes four short double-helical elements and three loops (D, anti-codon, and T loops). Lineage: Bacteria; Pseudomonadati; Spirochaetota; Spirochaetia; Winmispirales; Winmispiraceae. RNAcentral also lists the same sequence under 1 other name. The record is from RNAcentral.
CGGGCUGUAGCGCAGGGGUUAGCGUACAGGUCUGGGGGACCUGGGGUCGGCGGUUCAAAUCCGCCCAGCCCGA